GACGAACGCUGGCGGCGUGCCUAAUACAUGCAAGUCGAACGGGAGCGCCCGGUGCUUGCACUGGUCAAUCUAGUGGCGAACGGGUGAGUAACACGUGGGUAACCUGCCCAUCAGAGGGGGAUAACAUCCGGAAACGGAUGCUAAAACCGCAUAGGUCUUCGAGCCGCAUGGCUUGAAGAGGAAAAGAGGCGCAAGCUUCUGCUGAUGGAUGGACCCGCGGUGCAUUAGCUAGUUGGUUAGGUAACGGCUCACCAAGGCCGUGAUGCAUAGCCGACCUGAGAGGGUGAUCGGCCACAUUGGGACUGAGACACGGCCCAAACUCCUACGGGAGGCAGCAGUAGGGAAUCUUCCGCAAUGGACGCAAGUCUGACGGAGCAACGCCGCGUGAGUGAAGAAGGUUUUCGGAUCGUAAAACUCUGUUGUUAGAGAAGAACAAGUGCUAGAGUAACUGUUAGCGCCUUGACGGUAUCUAACCAGAAAGCCACGGCUAACUACGUG
This 498-nucleotide ribosomal RNA is filed under the name uncultured bacterium. RNAcentral's name for it is "partial 16S ribosomal RNA". It matches the Rfam family "Bacterial small subunit ribosomal RNA", at positions 28 to 507 of the family's 1533-position model. The record is from RNAcentral.